AGGGAAAAAUUGACGAAGGUCUGACGGAGCACGCCGCGUGAGUGAUGAAGGUUUUCGGAUCGUAAAACUCUGUUGUUAGGGAAGAACAAGUACCGUUCGAAUAGGGCGGCACCUUGACGGUACCUAACCAGAAAGCCACGGCUAACUACGUGCCAGCAGCCGCGGUAAUAA
RNAcentral lists this ribosomal RNA (171 nucleotides) under Bacillus licheniformis. RNAcentral describes it as "partial 16S ribosomal RNA". It matches the Rfam family "Bacterial small subunit ribosomal RNA", at positions 356 to 526 of the family's 1533-position model. Lineage: Bacteria; Bacillati; Bacillota; Bacilli; Caryophanales; Bacillaceae. The record is from RNAcentral.